GGUUGCGGGGCGGGGCCUUGUGCGGCUGCGCCUAGCUGUGAAGCUGGGUGGUGGGUGGCUAUGUGGCUCCGCCGCCGGGGAUUGGGGGUGCCUUCCGCCUCAGCCUCUGAGGGCGGCAAGUCCUCCGCUUCGUGGACUGAGAUGGGGUCUUGGGUGCGGACGAUCGGCGAGAGGCUGAAGCAGCGGCUGCGGUUGGACGUGGGACGCGAGAUUUGCCGUCAGUAUCCGCUGUUCUGCUUCCUGCUACUCUGCCUCAGCGCCGCUUCGCUGCUCCUCAACAGGUAUCUUCACGUCUUAAUGAUCUUCUGGUCUUUUGUUGCGGGAGUUGUGACGUUCUACUGUUCAUUAGGACCCGAUUCCCUCUUACCAAAUAUAUUCUUCACAAUAAAAUACAAACCUAAGCAAUUAGGACUUCAGGAGUUAUUUCCACAAGGACAUAGCUGUGCUGUUUGUGGUAAAGUGAAGUGUAAGCGACAUAGGCCUUCCUUGCUACUUGAAAACUAUCAGCCCUGGCUAGACCUGAAAGUUUCUUCCAAGGUUGAUGCAUCUCUCUCAGAGGUCCUUGAAUUAGUGUUGGAAAACUUUGUCUAUCCAUGGUACAGGGAUGUGACGGAUGACGAGUCCUUUGUGGAUGAGCUGAGGAUCACCUUACGGUUUUUUGCAUCUGUCUUAGUGCGAAGAAUUCACAAGGUCGAUAUUCCAUCUAUUAUAACCAAGAAACUAUUAAAAGCAGCAAUGAAACAUAUAGAAGUGAUUGUUAAAGCAAGACAGAAAGUAAAAAACACGGAGUAUUUACAGCAAGCUGCUUUAGAAGAAUAUGGUCCAGAUCUUCAUGUGGCUUUGAGAAGUCGAAGAGAUGAAUUACAGUAUUUAAGGAAACUUACUGAGUUACUUUUUCCUUAUAUUUUGCCUCCUAAAGCAACAGACUGCAGAUCCCUGACAUUACUUAUAAGAGAGAUUCUAUCUGGUUCUGUGUUUCUUCCUUCUUUGGAUUUCCUAGCUGAUCCAGAUACCGUCAAUCAUUUGCUUAUCAUCUUCAUAGAUGACAGCCCUCCUGAAAAAGCAACUGAGCCAGCUUCCCCCUUGGUUCCAUUCCUGCAGAAAUUUGCUGAACCUAGAAAUAAAAAACCAUCUGUGCUGAAGUUAGAAUUGAAACAAAUCAGAGAACAACAAGAUCUUUUGUUUCGCUUUAUGAACUUCCUGAAACAAGAAGGAGCCGUGCACGUCCUGCAGUUCUGUCUGACUGUUGAGGAAUUUAAUGAUAGAAUUUUGCGGCCAGAGUUAUCAAACGAUGAAAUGCUCUCUCUGCAUGAGGAAUUGCAGAAGAUUUAUAAGACAUACUGCUUGGACGAAAGUAUUGACAAAAUCCGGUUUGAUCCCUUCAUUGUAGAGGAGAUCCAAAGAAUUGCUGAAGGCCCAUACAUAGAUGUUGUGAAGCUGCAAACUAUGCGAUGUCUUUUUGAAGCAUAUGAGCAUGUUCUUUCCCUCUUGGAGAAUGUGUUCACCCCUAUGUUCUGCCACAGCGACGAGUAUUUCAGGCAACUCUUAAGAGGUGCAGAAUCGCCCACACGAAAUUCCAAAUUCAAUAGAGGUAGCCUAAGUUUGGAUGAUUUCCGAAGCACACAAAAAAGAGGAGAAUCGUUCGGAAUCAGCAGAAUAGGCAGCAAAAUUAAAGGUGUAUUCAAGAGCACCACCAUGGAGGGGGCAGUGCUGCCUAGUUACGGCGUGGCUGAAGGCGAAGAUGACUUUAUUGAAGAAGGAAUUGUGGUACUGGAGGAUGACUCUCCUGUAGAAGCCGUGAGCACACCUAACACUCCUCGGAACCUCGCCGCGUGGAAAAUUAGCAUUCCGUAUGUAGACUUUUUUGAGGAUCCCUCCUCUGAAAGGAAGGAGAAGAAGGAGAGAAUUCCUGUGUUUUGUAUUGAUGUUGAAAGAAACGAUAGGCGAGCAGUUGGACAUGAGCCUGAACAUUGGUCUGUCUAUAGAAGAUAUCUUGAAUUCUAUGUACUUGAAUCAAAACUAACAGAAUUUCACGGCACAUUUCCCGAUGCUCAGCUGCCAUCCAAAAGGAUCAUUGGCCCCAAGAACUACGAGUUUUUAAAGUCGAAGAGAGAGGAGUUUCAGGAGUAUCUACAGAAACUUGUGCAGCACCCAGAGCUGAGUAACAGCCAGCUUCUGGCUGACUUCCUCUCUCCCAAUGGUGGGGAGACACAGUUUCUGGAUAAGAUACUUCCAGAUGUAAAUCUUGGAAAAAUUAUAAAGUCGGUUCCUGGGAAACUAAUGAAGGAGAAAGGUCAGCAUUUGGAACCUUUCAUCAUGAGUUUCAUUAAUUCUUGUGAAUCCCCAAAACCUAAACCGAGUCGGCCAGAACUGACCAUUCUCAGCCCUACCUCUGAAAACAACAAGAAGCUUUUCAACGAUCUAUUUAAGAAUAAUGCAAACCGCGCUGAAAACACAGAGCGAAAACAAAAUCAGAACUACUUCAUGGAGGUGAUGACUGUGGAUGGAGUCUACGAUUACCUGAUGUAUGUAGGGCGAGUAGUUUUUCAAGUUCCAGAUUGGCUUCAUCACCUUUUAAUGGGCACUCGAAUCCUCUUUAAGAACACACUGGAAAUGUACACUGACUACUAUCUCCAGUGCAAGCUGGAGCAGCUCUUUCAGGAGCAUCGGCUGGUGUCACUCAUAACCCUUCUCAGAGAUGCUAUAUUUUGUGAAAAUACUGAACCUCGCUCUCUGCAAGAUAAGCAAAAAGGAGCAAAACAAACUUUUGAAGAAAUGAUGAAUUACAUUCCAGAUCUGAUCGUCAAGUGUAUUGGUGAAGAAACCAAGUAUGAAAGCAUCAGACUUCUGUUUGAUGGCUUGCAGCAGCCAGUGCUCAACAAGCAGCUGACCUAUGUUUUGUUGGACAUUGUGAUACAGGAGCUGUUUCCAGAGCUGAAUAAGCCUGGUGACCUGAGUUUGAUCCCUGGAGCCCACAUGGUGGAAGAAGAGAACAGACUCCUCCAAGUUGUCCUCUGACCUCAACAUGCGUGUCAUGGCCCAGGGCAGCAUGCAGAAAACGAAGGCAAGUCCUAACAGCUCACCAUUGGAAAAGGAGGUCGCCAAGAUGCAGCCGCUUUGCCCUGAAGGCGUCUCACCAUGGCAUCACAGAUCAGGUUUCCCAUGUUGCACUCUCUGAAGCGGCACUCCUGAGCGGAGCCAUUCAGGUAGACGAUGGUUCUCCCGAGUUCCUGUGUAGAAUAAUUAUCUAAUUUUAUCCUCCACUGGUUAAUGUCUGCUUUGAUGGCUGCAUCUAGAAAGAAAGGACAUCAAAAAGGUGCAAGUGAGAGGAAAGGCCUGUCUGUAAUUCAGGCAGAUCUCCUAGUGGGUCCACUGGAGAGAAAUCAAGCCCCGCCAGUCUUCCCUGCUGGAAGUACACAUUGGUCACAUCUGUGCAUUUUGGUCAUGGCUAUGAAAUCCCUUAGGAAUGUUUAUUUUGUUUUUCUGACAUUAAUACCCGGGUAUAUUUUACCUCAAAGAUGUUUUGAGCAUCUCGACACCAACUCAAACAUCUAGAUGAGCCCGUCAGCCCACCUAGGAUGACACCACGGUCUUGCCAUAAGGUUUGAAAAGCUGGGACAAGUACAGAGGGUCUGCUGAGGGUGUGGUUCUCAGCUUGCUUCCUCUUCAGCUGCUGAAAAGCCUAGGUUGUGAGCACAGACUCUCCUGCCUCACUGCCCGUCCUUCUGAGCUGAUGAUUGUAAACAGCAAAGGGCUAGUAGAAGGAAUCAUGACAGAGGGUCCAAGCAUCAUAUGAAAACAGAUGGCAUAACAAUGUUCUUUUAUUCUGAGUCUCAAAACACAAGGUACUUACUUCCUGACAGAUAUGGGGGUAUAAUAUACACCCAGCCUAGGCUAUAUAUGGAGAGGCUGCCUCAAAACAAACAAAACCAGAAAAAAAGAAGUAUUUGCUCGUUUCAUGAAUGAAGACACUGAGGUGCAUACCACACUCACUGUCACUGCCUCUUGUUAGGUGGGCCAGAUUUUGAGCACCACUCUGUCCUAGUUGAAUUGCUUUUCUUUGGUUGUCUAUUCCUCCCUAGAGAGGAGCCGAUGGUGGCUUUUGCCUCACAGGACUAAGCUUUUGCAAAGCAGGAGAAGCGAUAGGGCUCUGAGCAGACUUGGGAAAAAUUAUGAGUACUUGGGAAUUUGAAACUUCCUUAUGAAUAAAGAGAGCAAAUGCAAGGGAGCAGCUAAAUUCUUCACAAGUGUCACAGUCAUUUAUUUCCUGAAACAAAACGAACAGAAAAGGGGAUGGAAGGUCUAGCGGCUGCCUAACUUUUCAUGUGGUAGAUUCCCCCCAGAUCUCACCUUCACGAAUGGUGCUGUUCAGAAGAAUGGGAUUUCCAUAGGAAGUGACAACAUUUCCUUUAUCAUCAAACUCAACCUUCAGAUAGCCCAGGUAUUUGCCAAAGGCAUAGGCCUGGACCACGGGAACCUUUCGCCCAUCGUCAGAGGUGACUAUGAAUGGGUACUUCCCAGCAGGCACUUCUUUGGAAGGUGGAUUUCCUGAAAUGAAAGAGGCAGAUUUGGUCAGGUCAGCCUUUGCUUAUAUAGCAGGCCACCAGCGGAAUGACAUCGGAUUUACCUGAUGAGUCACCAUCUGCUGUUGUACACGGCUGGUCUUUCAGAGCCCCAUGGACAUUUGCCAUUGACUCCAAAUGCCAUUCUCUACUCAGUAGGCAUUUACUAAGCUGUUUCUAAGUCUGGGGCAUUGUGCCUGGUGAUCUGAUGUGAUGUGGGUCAUACAGAAAUAGAAUCCUGCUAAGAUUAUCCCUCUUUCAUGCAGACUCUGUCUCUGCUCCUCCUGACUGAAUGAAAGCUAAGCCAUUUUGGUGUACUUCUGUCUCUGUGUAAAACCCUCCUGCCUCUGCUUCCCAAUGGCUAGGGUUACAGGUGUGCACUACAACAUCUGCCAAGCAGUAUAGCAAGGGGACCGGAAGUGGGUGAAUUAGCAAUUCUCAUUCUACAGGGUUGUUGAGACAGUUUAGUGUCUUAAGAUCCUCAGUGUGUGCUGGCUAGGCAUAGUAAGUACACCAUUUUUACUGUAUGCCUCUUCCUGUAGAGAUGAAGGCAUUCUCUAGAAACCUUGUGCACACACUCAAGGGCCUGUAGUUGUUAGUGAGGACCAAGAAGGGAUGACGGAGUUGUUCUUAGGGGGUUUUAGAGCAGCUAUAUCCUCCGUGGGGACCAACAAGCAAACACAUUCUCUCCCCAGCUCUUCAUAUCAGUCACACUCGGCAGGCCUGUAUCUCAUGGGGGGGCCACAGGAAGAACGUGGGAGCCGUUCAUCGCCCAGAGGCCUCCUUGUUUGCCUGAGGUGAGAGUGGCCACAGAAGAUACCCAGCAUCACAUCGCUUGCCAUGUUUAACUUCUUUCCAGGAAUCGAGUUUAUUUUUAAAUUUUUGUUGUGUGUGGGGUGAGGUCAUAUGUAUGGGUCCCAGGAUCAAACUCUGGUCUUCAGGCUUGGAGGCAGGCAUCUUUCCCUGCUGAGGCGACUCACUGGCCUGUACAUUUAAGUCAUUUCACCCCUCCUUGAUGUAUACUGUGUGUAGUUCCAAGCUGGCUUUGAUCUUAAGAUCCUCCUGCUUUAGUCUUCCACAUAAAUGCUGGGACUUAUGGGUAUGACCUGUUACGUGAGUCAUAAUUUAUAUCGAAUGUCUGUGGAAGUGACAUCGUUUGGGUUGUUUAGAAUCAGAUUAUAAAGCACAUAGGACUCUACUGGAUGCUUACAAAAGGUCCAGAGGACUUCAGCACACGCUCAUUUCACACAUGAGUCAGUUCUGAGAGCCGGCUGGGACUAUAAUUUCAUUUAUCUCUCCAAGCCUCCCACGAGGCAGGCCACAUUAUCAAGUGUACUUUACACAUGAGAAGACUGACUGCUGUAGCAGAUGCCCAAGGGCACAUGGUGCUGCUGGAAACCAGAGCUGUGGGACCCUGACCUUACGUCCUUGCUUCCCUCUAGAGCAGUCCACCCUGGGUUGGUUAUUCUCCGAGAAUCUGCAAGAUGGUUGGCACAGGCCACUAAUGAACUUACAAGCAGAACCAGGUUUGUGUCUUCCUGUCCCAGUCUCUUUCAGGGUCUUUUAAUUUACCUAAGAAAAGCCAAGGUGGCAUGCUAGGAAGAACUUACUCCAGGCCCUGUCAACCUCUAGAGUCAUAACAGAGCAGGACACAAGCACAGCACACGCCAGCCAUACACAAGCUAGGACAGCUGCUUCCAGUGCCAGGGUCCCACUGUGCUUGCAGAUGGUUCAAGACACCGUUCGUGACAGGGAGGAGGAACGCUACUAAUCUAAUCCUCCUCUUCCCCUUCUGUGCUUCUUUGGCCCAGGACAGACCCUGCCCUGCACUGCAGGGGACUAGUUAUUUAGGGAAGCCUCCUCUUAGCUUUGCGGAGACUUCCUCUUCCGGGCAAUGCUUGGGAAGUUGUAAUUCCCCUAACUGUCCAUGGAGUGGCAGAGAAUAUCCCAUCCAAGUGGAAAAAGGAUGAACAAAUUGCAGAAAUCUGGCAUUCGGCACUUUCUUGGAAAUUAGAGAGAGUAGCAAGCCAGACUUCUAGUCUUGGGUUUCUUUCUUUUUUUCUCCCUUCCAUGGCAAUAUCUUAAACAGAAUGUUAGAGAUUAGGAACCUGCCAGGCCUGUCAAAUGCCCCAAUUAGCUCAGCAUGCACUCUGCAAAAUCAGCACCCUCUGCCAGGGAGCACCUACUUUCUAGUUCAGAAAGGUCUUGAUGUUCCUUUUCUGAGAACAAAAGAUCCGUCAAGGUUAUCUCUGUCAGGAACUCAGCUUCCUUUGUGGCUGAGUUAGGGCUGGCCGCUAAUCUCCACCUUCAUCUUCACUGAGUCCCCCUCACUCCUCCACACAUUUCACAACUCAGAAAACCACCGGCGAGGGGGAAAAUAAUCCAGACCUUCAAAAUGUCCACACCGGUCCACGUUAUUCAGCCAAAGGCCUAAAUGUUUAUUACUUUUGCUGUGCUGGGAAUUUUUCUUGGACAUGCAUUUCCAAUCCCGCUUCUGCUCAUAUUCUACCUCACUUAAUCCCCGUUAUGUUUUUUUUUUCAUUUCUUUUAAAUUUUUUGAGGAAACUACACCACUAUCAUAAGUUUUUGUUAAAGAAAGCUUGGGCUCAAAGAGAUGAUGUAAAUUGAUAGACAGUGUUGAUGGGAACAAACUGAGCCUGUAAGAGGACCAAGCCCUUUUCACAAUCCCAAGCCAGAUUCCAGGGGAAGAAAAAUGCAAUCCUGCACGCAAGACCAGCAAACAGCAGAGCUAAGGCAGCCCAAGCUUCCAGCCUGUAACACACUCAGUGCUCAGGACAUGGGGGGCUGUGAGUUCUCAGGAGAUGACCAACUUUCCUUAUAUCAACCCUGCUUGGGGUUGGAUCCAUUUAUUUACGGUCAUUCUUUUCAGAGCUGGGCUUUCAAUAGACUCAUUUCAACUUUGAAAGCAGCCCCUUGAGGAGUAGCUGCCUCGGAUUAUGGCUGCGUGCAUGCAACAUGAUGUGGCUUUGCUCAAAAGGAAGUGGGUGCUGAAGCCCGGCCAGGCAGAGGCUAUCUAAAAGGACGAGAGUGAGUGGUCACUGGAAUGGGGAAAGCCUCUGUGCUGACCUAAGAAACAUCCAGGGAGAUCACUGCCAAGGCCACUGGUCAGACCUCUGCCCUUUGGCUGGUUCUCCAGUGCACACAGGAAACCCUGAAUGUCACCAGUUCUUAUCAAGUGCCUGGAAACAGUUCCUUGGAGAGUGUCUCUGUACUGUGCCUGUGACAAAUGUUAGGGUUGUUUUGGAAAGGCACGAUGAUCUAAAGCCCAGCCUUUCUUUUCCUGGUGCUUGUUCGUGCGUGCGUGCGUGCGUGCGUGCGUGCGUGCGUGCGUUGGGGCAGGAGUCUCACUAUUUAUUCCUAGAUACUUAAAUUUAGGGAAUUUAUACUGUAGACCAGGCUGGCCUCAUAGACUUGCCUGCUUCUGCUUCCCAAGUUCUGGGAUUAAAAGUGUUCAUCUCUGCACUAGGCCCUGUUUUUUGUUUUUGAGACAUGCUCUCAUGUAGCCCAGGUGAAGAUGACCUUAUACUUCUAAUCCUCCUGCUUCUACCUCCCAAGUGCUUGAAUUACUAACCUGUGCCACCUCUGCCUUAAAACCAAGCUUCUUCUUUUUUUAAAAAAAGAUUUAUUUAUUUUUAUUUAUAUGAAUACACAGCAGCUGUCUUCAGAUCCUGUUACAGAUGGUUGUGAGCCACCAUGUGGUUGCUGGGAAAUUGAACUCAGGAGCUCUGCAAGAGCAGUUAGUACUCUUAACCACUGAGCCAUCUCUCCAGCCCAGUCUUGUACAUGUACCCUCAGCUCUUAUAUAUCUAUGAUUACAAAGAAUAUGUCAUUUCCAGAAGUCCAUGUUUCAAAAGAAGCUUCUUAAGCUGAGGGUCAUGACCCCAUGUAGGGGAGGGUACUGUGACUGAAUGGCAGGUUUCUGAACAUACCAUGACCAAAAUUUCUACCCCUGCCCAGGAUGGAUCUCAGAGUGAUUACCCACACUGCAUCUGAGGCUUCAUUGUAGCCUUGAUUCUGAACACAUGUGCACUUUGCACUGCAUGUGUGGUCACACUGUGACAAUAUUGAUCAACUCUGAAAAAGCAUUGAAGCUGCUGAAGUCUCAAAUACUCAGCCAAGACUUAGGUCUUUACAUAAAAGUAAGCAGAUCCAUCUUAUUAAUUUGCACACUUGCUUUAGUCUUUAGUAAAUGGUAGUCUUUAAUAAAUGGUAAAAAUAUAUACAUACCAACGAAUUACUUUAAAGUAAGUUUCUUUCAUUGGUGAGAUGGCUCAGUGGAUAAAAAUGCUUGAAAUAAAAGCCAGAGUUCUAUCCCAUGAACCCACAACAGAAAGAAGGAAAACCAGCUCUCUGGGUUUUCUCUGACCUCCACACAUGUGCUCUUGAAUAUACAUACUCACACCUACAAAUGCACACGUCAAAUACAUAUGCAAACAAUAAACUUAAAAAUAAAAUAAUUUUCUGAUUCAUUAUCUGUUAAAUCUUGACAUGCACACCUAAUUUAAAAUAUUCCUAUACCCACAGUUACAUAAAAAUAUCCUGAGCAUACAGGGGUUGUGAGCAGAAAAGCUUUCAGCAGGCAUGUUCUGAAAGUACACCGUGGAGAGAGGGGCUGGACAGUGGCUGCCAGGCUGAGCCUGUGGCACGGUGCCUACUGAGCAUGCCCAAAGCCCUGAGCCUGAUUCCAAGCACCGUAUCAAAUUAGAUGUGGUUGCACAUGCCUGUGACACCAGCGUCCAGGAGAGGGAGGCACGAGGACACAAGUUCAAAGCCACCCUUGGCUACCUAGCAAGUUCUUUAUCUUUAAAAAGGUGACGCACAUACCAUGCUGACUGAAAGGACCACCAGCAGUGAUCUCUCUCUUUCCUUGUUACUCUAACAUAGCAGGUAUGCAUCCACUCUGCCCUGAGGUCAAGAACACAGAGAAGUUUCUAGUUCAGUACUGUAUAAUUCUUUUGUGAAUUCUCAUUCAUUUUUAAUUCUAUGAUCUUCACAGAAUUUCUGUUCUUGAAUUCCAUAUUUAGUGAACGUGUGCUUUAGACUAGGAUCAAUCAUACUGAAAAUAAAGAAGUUAGAAAAACAACUGACUAAAUAUUUUCAAAGGGCUGCAUAAACUCUGGCACGGUGGUCCAUGCCUUUGAUGAUAGCAGUUGGGAGGCAGAGGCAGGUGGAUCUCUGUGAGUCUGAAGCCAGCCUGGUCUACACAGUGAGACACGGCCUCACAAACAGAGGCUGUACUGAUUACCAUCCACUUAGCAACAGUGCACAGCCGCCUCUCAUAUGUUAGCCACCCAGGCUAGCGAGAGAAGGAUAGGAAAACAGCCAGACCAGUCAGGAGACAUGAAACUUCUGUACCGCUGAAGUCUUUGACUUCUAAAGGAACACACAGUGAGGAAGUUCUAGGAACCAGAAUGAUUCGAGAGUGUGAAGGGACAUGGGGAUCCAAGAGUGGAGUUCUGAAGUGGCUGAGGUGAGUGGAGGUGACAGUCAUUCAGGAUAUUUGGAAAGGAUUCUGUGAGCCUGGGGUACUGAGUCUGUUGUCCGCACAGACUAAAUAGUUAAUCCUUACAGGGUGCAGGCAGGAGCUGGUGUGCAGACACAGAUAAGAAACUGGGUACUAACCACUUGGUGACAUGGGACGGUGCUGGGAAGCCAUUGGUACUGUGGAAAAGACAGGGGCAGGUUGUAUGAACCCCCACACUUUACCAUAGUAGCUUAUACUAUAAUAUUGUAGUAGACAUUAUACAUUGUUCUAUUAAAAAAAACUGAACCAAACCAAACCAAAACAAAGCCUUCCUAAAAUCUCCCAGAGUAGUUAAUAGUUAAUAGUUAAUAGUUAAUAGUUAAUCUCUGCGCACGACUGCUUUCCUAGGAAGCAGUAUGUCAGAAAGGAAGGGGUGACACAUUCCUAGUACUGAGCCCUUUACAGAACUGCAGAUUAGAAACUGAUGUCUGCACUUAUCCAAGAGAAGAACCAAAUGGCAGGCAGAUGGGAAGCAGCCCCUAGGAAUCUCUUCAAGAGUCGUAAAGACUGGGCAGUACUUUGGCAUGCCUGCACAGGCUCCAUCUUGAACUUCCUUCCCUACUUUUUAUCAUGGACCAUUUUUGUGACUCCAGAGUGCAACUCCUUCAGAGGCACCAUCUCCCUCCUGGGCCUCAUUCCUGCAGCUCUCACACUUUGCAAGUGCUUCCUGUCAUACUGUUAGAAGGGGGAUCUUACAGUCAAGAUUAGCCUAGUCAGCACAUAAGGGCCUUGCCAGCCAAAACUGCAAAGCAAAGUGUGACUCUGUUUCUAUAAAAAACGAAACAAACAGGCUGGAGAGAUGGCUCCGUGGUUAAGAGCACUGGCUGCUCUUCCAGAGGUCCUGAGUUCAAUUCCCAGCAACCACGUGGUGGCUCACAACCAUCUGUAAUGGAGAUCUGAUGCUCUCUUCUGGUGUGUCUGAAGACAGCAACAGUGUACUCACAUAUAUGAAAUAAAUAAAUCUUUACCAAAACAAGACUCCCCCUGCCCCCCCACCCCCCCUCCAAACAAAUAACAGGAGGUCCUGUCUCCAGGUGAAAUGAAACAAAAUAACAAGAAAAGAAACAGCAGAACAACAACAAUAAAAGCAGGAUCCUCAAAGCAGGAUCCUCUGGAUGCUUUGGGAAUUUUCGGAUUACUUUAUACACAGCUAUGAGAGUGCUCACGUUUGCACGCGUACCCAUUAGAUCCUCUUGUUAAAUGUCAUGCUUACUGUGGCUCACAGCCAACGUAGAGGAGGAAGCGGCAGGAGUGCCAGCUCGCUCCUGCUGUGCAUUGUAGACUUCUAAUACUCCUUGGAGAAAAGCUACAAAGCCUUUGAACAGGUCCUAUCCACAGAGCUGCCGUAGAACGGCACUAAGAGCAGGCAAGUCUGUGGACCCUCCUGAAACUGCUGUGACUUGGAUGUGGCUUGUCCCUUCUGUGUUCGUGUGCUAGCAGCUUAUUAGUCCUCUCUGUGGUGACACAGGUACAGUGGAACCUUCGAGGGGUGUUUAAUGUGAGGUGAUGAGCCAGCAACCUCCACUUGGAAGAGAUUAGUUCUCUUGAGCCCACAGUCAGUUCUGUGAGAGGGAGUGGUUGUAACGGGAGGGCCACCACACACCCCUGGCCUCCCUGUCAUGUUCUUUCCCUUUCCCGAUUCUCUCCUGUGUUGUGUUGUGAAGAGCCAAGGGGAUGUUCACUUGAGGCCAAACCAGUGAAGUCAGCCAGUGAGGUCAACUGUUCCCAGACUCUUAAUCUUCAUUCAACACUGUGAUAGACUCCUUGUUAGGAAGCCAAUGUACCCAGAGGGGGUCAGGUGACCUGCCUGUUCAAGGUCAUUCAAGUGAGUUAGCAAUGAGGACUUUUGACUCAAUAUUCUCAUUCCAAAUAUAACAUGUAUUCAGUACUUAACAUUCUAAGAAGUUCUAUGAAAAUAACAAUAGUAGUGAAGAAGAAGGGGAAGAAGAGGAGGAGGGGAGGAGGGGGGAGGGGAAGGAGAAGGAGGGGGAAGGAGAGGAGGAGAAGGAGGAGGAGGAGAAGAAGAAGAAGAAGAUGAAGAAGAAGAAGAAGAAGAAGAAGAAGAAGAAGAAGAAGAAGAAGAAGAAGAAGAAGAAGAAGAAGAAGAAACUUUCCAAGCCAGAUGUAGAGGUGCACGUUUAUAAUCCUACCAUUCCUGAGAGGUAGAGGCGAGAGAAUCACAAGACUGGGGCUAAUCUGAGCGAGAUAGUGAGACUCUGUCUUAGAAAACCAAAGGCCAGGGAUAUAGAUGCUUAAAAUAGAGCAAGGCCUGGAUUCAGGUCCAAGAACCACUGAAAACAUCUUAAAAAUAUAUUUAUCUUUAAAAAAUUCUUACCACCAACUGACCUUUGUCUAGCGAUCAGUAAUGUUUUCAUUUUACUAUGUGUGCUAUACGCGUGUAGCAUUGGCUUUUAAUCAUGAAAUUAAUGAAUUCUCGGAACGUCUCCGAGUAAGAUUACCCAGCCUCAUCCAAGGCAGAUUAUAUGUAUAUUGCAUAUUAUAGCAUAUACAUUGUAUACUGCACACUAAAUGAACAUCCUGGCCUGCAGAGUGCAGCGAGACAAUUACCUGUGUAGAGAAAGGUGUUGGUGUGUCCUCCCACCACGACGUCCACGCCUCUCACCUUCUGGGCAAUGAGUUUAUCCAUCUCGAAACCAGAGUGUCCCAGGGCAAUGAUCUUGUUCACGUUUAGAGUUUUUAGUUUAUCCACUUCAGGCUGCAACGCAGUGACUUCAUCUUCGAAGACUAAAUUUGUCCCUAAGGAGGAAAAUUAAUAAAAUGGAUAUUAAAAGAAUUUCAUUGCACUACUUAUAUAGCAACACUUAGAUAGCUUUUAACAAGAAAGCAUGAUUUCUUGUUAAAGCUCCUCACUUACUAACAGCACAAUGUAUGAAUACAUCUGAUACGGAAGUCUUGUCAGUCAAGAAAAAUGUAAACCAAUGUCCUUGGUUGCACUUACCCAGUAUUGCAUUGGGUUAAGGUUGUAGAUGGUACAUACAAAUUAUACAUACAUACAUACAUACAUACAUACAUAUACAGAAACAUAUAUAUGUUAACUUAUUUUUGUGUGCACAUACAUACUACAAUGAAUACAUGGAAGGUCAGAGAACAAUUUUUUUAUUAUUGGAUAUUUUUAUUUACAUUUCAAAUGUUAUUCCCUUUCCUGGUUUCCUGUCCAUAAGCCCCCUAUCCCAUCCCCUUUCCCUUCCUUCUAUGAGGGUGUUCCCCUCCCCAUACAUCCCACCUUCCUACCCCCCCAACAUUCUCCUACACUGGGUGGUCCAGCCUUGGCAGGACCAAGGGCUUCUCCUCCCAUUGGUGCCCAACAAGGCCAUCCUCUACUACAUAUGCAGCUGGAGCCAUGGGUCUGUCCGUGUGUAGUCUUUGGGUAGUGGUUUAGUGCCUGGGAGCUCUGGUUGGUUGGCACUGUUUUUCUUAUGGGGUUGCAAACCCCUUCAGCUCCUUCAAUCCUUUCUCUAAUUCUUCCAAUGGGGACUCUGUUCUCAGUUCAAUGGUUUGCUGCUAGCAUUUGCCUCUGUAUUUGCCAUGCUCUGGCUGAGCCUCUCAGGAGACAGCUAUGUCAGGCUCCAGAGGACAGUUUUCAAGAGCUGGUUCUCUCUGCCCACCACAUAGAUCCUAGGGAUCGAACUCAGGACAUCAGGUUAGGUGGCAAGCACCAUUAUCUGUUGAACCAUCUCACUGGGCCAUAGAUGUUGUUUUUGCAUAAACUGAAUCUCAUGCUAUGAAGAGACUUCAGGUACAGUUUGUUUCCAUCUCCUUUUACAUUUAGGCCUUCACACUAACCAUGAAAAAAAAUGUCUGAGCACAAAAGCAUGGUGCCUACAACUGCUGCCAACUUUAUUGCUUUGCCUGGAAACUUGGAGUAUUCUCUCUUCAGACCUAACAUGUCAACAAGUAGGCUUUGAAAGACAAUUUCAAAAAGAGGUUUUUAACAUUUCUUUCUUUAUUUUGGUUUGCGUAUGGUGUGACAUACUUACGGAUGUCAGAUUUCUCUUUCUGCUGUAUGAGUUCCAGGGAUUGAACUGUGGGCAUCAGGUGUGGUGGCAAGUCCCCUUCCUUACCCACAGAGCCAUCUUGCUGGCCCUUGGGAACUAAUUUUAUCAUGGAAGAUAAGAACUGCUCACUUGCAGGUAGGGAGUGGCAGUAUUAGAGUAGAACUAGAACUGAGCGCUGCUUCACACAGAGGCCUCAUCUAAACGUUGCCUGCCCCAGGAAGGGAGCAAACCCAGUGGUAAGAAUGAAUGCCUCUGGUUCUGGGCGGCAUAGCUCCCGGGACUCCUGUGCUGAGGCCUGAACCUGGCUUCUCAGCCCAAGCUUAGCAAGUCAUUAGGUCUUCAGCGAUCAUGAGGGGACCACUGACAUGCCCUCCUGAAGUCUCACUCAGCACUGUUGCCAGGAGUCCUCCAGUUGACCUGGAUGCUCUCAGGCUGGUUUCUAAGAACCGGCACUAGAAUGAAGGUGGCUCAAAUGCAAAAGUCUCAUAAAGAGGUCUCAAAGGGCGAGUCUGCAGAGCCCAGUGUUUCUGGCUAAUAACUGAAGUUUUAAAUUUAUAAACGCUUCAUACACUUUAAAUAGAUAAUAAGUUUUAUCAUGUAAAAGAAAAACAUUUGUUUAUGAACCUUUCUCAUAAGUAUGGUUCUAUUAUUAAUUUAAAAUAGUACAAUGAGAUUGACCCGAAUUGUAAAAUAAAAAGGUUGAAAUAUGAAUGUAAAUAAAGUAUUAAUAUUGCAGUCAUAAAUAGAAUUGUUAUAAAUAUCAUAUAUCAGAAUAUAUAUCAGAUUUUCAUAUAUCAAGAGAAGAAACAUGGGGUUGGGGAUUUAGCUCAGUGGUAGAGCGCUUGCCUAGGAAGCGCAAGGCCCUGGGUUCGGUCCCCAGCUCCGGAAAAAAAAGAACCAAAAAAAAAAAAAAAAAGAGAAGAAACAUUUACUCAUAAUUUUCUUUUUUUAAAUGGAGAGUUUCUCCAGACAUCAGCAGACUGUUGGAGAUGCAGCCAUUGUCCACUGCCGUGCUCCGGACUCCACUCCCCUGAUGCAACUACUGAGUCCUGACUACACGUCAGCCCUGUGUAUGCAGUACCUCCCAGCACGAAAGCACUUUGGCUGUGGAGGCUCCAGAAGAGCAGCCAGGAAGUUAGCAGCUGGCUUGGCAGAGCUGAAGUAGCUUAAGUCAGCACCCAUAAUGCUCUGCUACUUUUGUCCCUCACAGGAAUGCCAGGGACGACCUGAUUCUUGUCUGUAACCCCAAUAAGCUUGGGCUCCCUGGUCAGCACUCAGCUCUGACCUUGUCUUGGUUUCUUUUCCUAUUGCUGUGAUAAAGUAUUUGGACACAAACAACUUAUAGGGGAGAGGGCUUAGGUUGACUUUUUGUGGUGGAUCUUCCCUCCUCAGUUAAAACAAUACCUCACAAGCGUUCCUGGGGACUUGUCUCCUAGGUGACUCCUGUAACGCUGACCAUUAAUACUAACCAUCACAACCCACUUUCCUGUUAGCCUUCCUUGGGCAUUCCUCUAAAAUAGCAAGGUGCAUCCUCCUUCUGCUACACAGCCCCUUCUCCUGUCGCAUUUCUCUUCACUACCUUCUGACACAGCCAUAUUUAUCUGUUCUCUCACUGAAUAUGUGAGCACAGAGAGAAACAGACUUCUUAUUUGGUGUUUCUAAGGCCCAGAACAGUGUGCUGAGCUCCCUGGGGGAGAGGGUGGGGAGGAAGGAUGUGGACAGAAUGUUAGUUACUAUCCUCUCCUUUGGUUGGUCCAGCACCAAAAUAGUUCUGAGAAAUGCCUCAGGUCUGGAUGCCACAUGUAUAGAUUUCAUGGGAUUUAUUUUAGAAUGCGUGCAUGUGCACAUACACACACACACAUACACACACACACACACAUGCAUGCAUGCAUGGGAGCUGGGGUGGAUUUCAAAUUAAAUGUUCUAGGAAUUGAUGUUAUACAUGUGUACAUGUUCUGAGCACUAGAACUAGGAGAACUGUUUUACUGGGGACCAGAAGUCUAUAGUCCAGUCUAUGCUUGUGCCAGGAUUCACUUACAAUUUUGAACACAUAAAAUUAGAGACACUGUUUAGUCAACAAAGACGUUUACCAAGCAGAGACAGCAAUGACCUUCAGAGGGUAACAGAACAAUACAGAAUCUGUCGCCUUGGUUUGCUAAUCACCAACCUUCGUCUGCCACAGACCAUAAAAACAUGGGCAGCCAAGCUCUGCUUUACCACGUCUAUUCCCAAGUUACAAGUACGGAGAAAGUAGAAGAUACCUGGAUUUGAGAGGAAGGGGGUUUCCUUUGAAGUAUAUCCAACAAUCCCCACAACCUCACCACCGACAGAGAGAACUUUAUAUGGCAAAUAAAGUCCGGAUAUCUGAGGUGCUAGUGGCCCCCGGGCCUUAAUAUUUGCACUCAGAAUUGGAAAUUUGACAUUUCUGAGGAGGGGAUCAAUCAGUCCUUCCACACCGUUAUCAAAUUCAUGAUUUCCCAGUGCCUAAGUAAAAUGGAAAAGAAAGAGAAAAGCAUUAAGUAUCCUGGAUUUUCUAAUAAAAGCAUAUUUUUAAGUAUAUCAUGUUAGCCCAGUGGCCCCCAAAAUGGACUGGGCUCCGAGUCUUGACAACACACAUGUCCUGGUGUUGUUCUUACCUCCAAAGAGGGCCGUGGGCCGAGCCCAGAGACAUGUAGAUCACAGGUAGGUACAGCAUUGUUGCCCUGGGCUCCUCAUCCAGUGAAGCUGCUGGGAAUGUGCGUAUUUGCAACAUCCGCAGCACACACUGUGAGGUGAGAAGCGCUGUCCCACCAUCCUCCAGCCAGAUAGCUCCACAGACCCCACCCAGGCCCUACCCAGCUCCUCCCCAUUGUUCUCUGGAGUUAGCCCACAGGCCAGACCCAAUCACUCAACCCACCAGCACCUUAGUAGAAUGCAGGUACCCUUAGAACCCCCUUUUUUCAUGGCUUCCCUUGGGUCAUGUCUCAAGUCCUCACAACUGCUCUACAUAAGGAUGUCUCCAGUUCAUCCAGGAAAAUCAGGGCUGACAGAAGCCUGUGUUACAGUGGGUGUUGGCUUCCUGCGCUAGUCAGCCCCAGACCACCCCAGUACCCUGAGCAGGAGAGAAAGCAUGAAGACAUUACAGGUACGUGGAGAGAGAAAGAGGUCCCUUGCUUUGGUGGAAGCCUUCUGCCAGCUGGGAGUCAAGAAUUUCAGCACAAUGAACAACACUGGCUAUGAAGGUUGCUGACAGAGACACAAGAUUCCUUUUAUCUAGAAAAAAAAAUUGUUAUCAAACGGGAAUGUUGAAAUAGCAGUGAACCGUUCUGAAGGCUUGCUUUUGUCUUUUCCUAGGUAUUUUCUGGAAGCCUCCCAAGUAAAAUGAAAAUUUUGUUUACAGUAAAGAUAGCUUAAUGUUCCCUAUAGCCCUUGUGAUCUCGAGUUUUACCAUGUCAGCUGUAAUCCUAACCAGUGCACAUAGAACCACCCUAUGAUCUCAUUUAUGAAAAAAAAAGAAGUUUUUUUAGCUACCUUUUGAGCUACAGCUUCAGAAGCCACCAAAACCAGUAUGUGCGGCUGUUGCAAUGACAAGGACAUCUCUCUCUUGAGCAGCCCACACCCAAGGGUGCGUACCCCCCUCUAAGCACCAGUUCUUUCUCAUGCUUACCUUUAUGUGGGACUGUCUUCCUCAUAUACUAAUCUACUAGAGCCCUGCUUUACCCUUGUGAAGUGUACACUCGACACUUGCCUUGUCCUAAAAUUCUUCUCUGUCUUUCUCUGAGUAGAAGUCUCUAAAAGGAACCUCUCAGACAGCCUCGUCCCUGGCACCUUAUGCUAAGGAAGGACUUUCUGGUGAGGUGACCAUGAGACCCCAGCAGGUUCUGUGCACAGGGCUUCAGCUGGAGCAGGGAUGGUGUCAAAAACCAUCUGUAAGCUCUUCCCACCCUCCUUCACCUUCCUUCAGAAAGCCCUAUCGAUCUUCCCCGUCCUCACUUCGCAUCCUGGAUAACCCCAGCUCUGGGCAGUCGCCCACUUGGUUUGACUGCUACGGCCAUUUCACUUCCUCGGUACCUGCAUUCACUAAGGACAUCAGCACAACCCAGUCUGUUUCACUUUCUUCAUCUCAGAAGAGGCCUGGUCGUUGAAGCUAACAAGGGCCAUGGUACGUUCUCUUCUGCCUCACUCCCUCUUCCCAGUGCGGCAGGUACGUGAGCACAACAAAUAGUUUAGUAACGAAUCCGGCUUGCGCAAUGCACACACCCCUCUUGUCACACUGCACUUGGAGCCUGCUACUGCCCACACUGUGUGCACACCCUCCAAACGAUGCACUUGACAACCUAGGAUGCCGCCUUCCCUGAGCUGCACGUACCACUCUCUCCAGACAAUGGAGUUAAGUUCCUUCUCCCCGGAACCAUCGAGCAAUUUCUAUUCAGUCAUACUCCAGUUAUGUCUAAGAAUGAGGGUUGGGAGGCAAUCUGGCCAGAGCUAGUUUGGGACACGUUGAGUAGGGCAAACUGUCCUGUAAGCGAAUGUUUAGGGAGAAAUUUGAAUGAUAUUUCCUUGCUAUUUUGCAAUCCCUGAGUACCUUUAUCAUAAUGUUUUAAUAAGAAGACAAAAACCUUGACUGGAUGUGACCAGCAGCCAUGUGACUUCAGUACAUUCCAGGGCUAUAUUGUGGGGUCAUUUGUUGUCUGUCCCCUGGCUAAACUGAACACUCCCAAGCUAUGUUGGCCUUUUCGUCCUGUUCACCAUGUAGUUUCCUCCCCUGGCACACGGGCACUCACUGAGCACCUGUCACUCAAAGGGCUGUGUACGAAUCCUCCAGGAAGCGCGAAGAGAUUCACAGUCCCACUCUGUCUCCCACUCCGUCUCCCACUCCGUCUCCCACUCCGUCUCCCACUCCGUCAUAAUUGCUGAACUUGCACUUUUCCCCAUCUCCGAUGCUCUACCCAGUCACCACCUCCUCUUACCUAGUUAAUUCCUCUAAAAGCUAAUCUAUGUCUAUAGGUUCUCUCAGUCUCAGGGAUUUGUUUUUCUUUCUUUGAGUCUUAAAACAUCAUGUUUUCUUCUUAUGGUGUAAUAAAUACCCUUUGUUAAAUAAUAAUCUUACCUAUAAAGUGUCAGUUUUGGUGAAUGUUUCUACGUUCACUAAAUUAAAAAAAAUCGUGCUUGGUUGUUUUGGGGUCUUUUGAGACAGGGUCUCACUGUGUAGCUCAGGAUGGCCUCUCACUCUUGCAUUAGCUUCCCGGAUGCUGGGAACAGACAUGCACAACAACACAUGGCUCACAGUUUUCUGAGGAAGAUCGACCAAACUCAGUGCUGUCCCAUCCUUAGCAUGCGGUAAGAGUUCAAGUUUUCACUUGUUGUUUCUUCAAUAUCUUGUUCCCUCCCACCCUGACUUGAGUGCAAACCUUGAGAGUAGUGACUGUGACUAUCUGUAUCCCUUGGGGGAGAGCAGCCCUAUUCGUGGACAUCAAUACUCUUGAUAAAGGACUAAAUGCCUUUUGUCACCCUCACCUUUGGCUCCAAACUUCAAACCUCUGUUGGGUUCUCUUGGUCUGUGUGUCCGUUGUCAUCUUCCUUUGCUGUUUCAACAGAAUGUCAGUGUUCCAGACCCAGAAAACCAUCUCUGAGACUUUCAAGUGUCAGAUCCAAAGUCUCCCUUUCCCCAAAAUGGCAGUUCUGGAGACAUUGUUCUACCAAGAAGGACAAUCUCAGUCAAUCGAGCCAGAAGCCCUGGCAUAAGACCUUCCCUGCUCCUGUAGCCUUUCCCCUUCGCAGGGCAAUGAGUCAGCUGUUGAGGACUCUACCAUGGGUGCGCCUGGUAACACACCAACUUUGAGGAAGGGAAAGUAUGACAAAAUAUCCCCUCCCUUAGAAUCUGAGAUACCACGUGAAAGAAAGGAGACACUUUCACAAGUACCACAUGGAAAGGAGAUAGCCAUGCUGGGUGAAGCUCAUGCUGGGAAGGCUGUUUUCUUGGUAAAGGCAUAAAGGCAUGGCUGUUGUCCUGCUUACCUUUUCUUUUCUUUUCUUUUUCCUUUUUUUUUUUUACUGCAAUAAACACGAUGACCAUAGCACAACACAGAACAGAAAGGAUUUAGUUCUUAGAGUCGACAAUGUUUUAUUCAGCAAAGUCAGGGCAGAAACUCAAAACCAAAAUCUGACCCAGAGGCCACAGAGGAGUGUUGCUUACUGCUUUUCUUGUCACCCAGGCCCACCUGCAGAUGGUGACACCACCUACAGUGGCCUGGGCUUUCUCACAUCAAUCAGCAGUCAAGAAAAUGCCCCACACAUGUGUACACACUCCAGCCUGCUCGAGGUGACUCCCCAGUUGAGGUACCUCUCUCUUCCCAGGUGAUUCUCGUUUCUGUCAAAUUGGCAAAUACUAACCAUCACAACUAUUGUAGAAGUUUAUUUUUAUUUAUUCAUCCAUUUAUUUUUGUAAUAGGGUCUUACACAAAUGACCUUGACACAAAUCCUUGCUCUGCAAGUGUGAGGGGUAGUCAAGCAAGGUUGUAUGUGCAUGUUUCCUCUCUACUGGGGCCAACCAGACUAGCCAAAAACAGAGAGACCAGCUCCCAUGUCAAUAAGCUGGAGAACCAUUCAUUUAUUUUUGUAAUAGGGCCUGGAAGUCUCUAUGCAGACUAGGCUACCUUGAACACAGAGAUCCAACAGUUUCUACCUCCUCAUUAUUAGGACUAAAGGUGUGCACCAAACACACGGGUCUAAUUCUUUUCUUUUCCUUCUUCUUUUUUCCCCUGCUUUUGCAUCUAUUCUAUUACAUGAUGUUUAGCCAAAAGGAUGGAAUUUGAGUUGUACCUUUGACCCUGGCUAAAAGCAUGAUAUUUCAAACUACCCCAAAGGCUCUAAGAUCAUAGAGAUUUCUAUUGUCUCUUCUCUUAAAUCAAUCAAAACGGUCCUGCAAAUCACCUGGACAGAAAAAAAAAAAGAGCCACUCAAAAAGUCUUAACUUCUAGAAACACAAUAUACCUGGAAACGUGUCUAAAAAUAGGAAAGGGAUAGUUGCCCCUUCGUGAGACAUAUAAUUAGACACCCCAGAAGCCACUCUCUCCACGCAGUUGCCCACAGACCGUCAUUGCUAAGCCUGCUGGCUUUCUGACUUCUCAGAAAGUGUAACUUCUCCCCUCCCCCUCGCUCCUCCUCCCCUCCUCCUUCCACUCUGCUGUGUCGAUGAGGAUGCGUGUGGGUGUGGUGCGGGGGGGAUGUGGUGCAUGCAUGUGACUGUGGAGAUAUGUGCCUGUGCACAUGGAUGGGGAGCCUGGAGCAGAACAAGGUCAGGCACCUUCCUCUCUGGUUCUCCAGCUUAUUGACAUGGGAGCUGGUCUCUCUGUUUUUGGCUAGUCUGGUUGGCCCCAGUAGAGAGGAAACAUGCACAUACAACCUUGCUUGACUACCCCUCAGACUUGCAGAGCAAGGAUUUGUGUCAAGGUCAUCACCCUAGAUCCCCUUCCUCCUCCUUGCAUCUCCAGUUUUUGGACAUCAGUCAAAACCCUAAAUCCAGCUGCCACGACAUCAGACAUUUUAUCUCUGAAGACAAUACCCACCUACCUGCCCCCUCACCGCCCCGUGCAGCUGCCUAACUGGCUUCCACAGCUGAGCCCAUCUGCUUUCUUAACAUUCAACUCAGAAGGUGUGAUUCUUUUCCUCUUAUCUAGCCCCCACUUCCAGCAGCCAUUAAGAUCUCUAGCUUACUUGCUAUGUUGUUGGUUUUUCUUUUUCCUCUCAAAUGUUCCCCCUUCUGAAACAUUUUAAAUCUGAAACAUUUAAUUCUGAAAUCUGUUUUAAAAUUCAUUUAUCACUGGGAGGUGGUAGCACAUGCCUUUAAUCCCAGCACAUGGGAAGCAGAUGCAGGCAGAUCUAUGUGAGCCCGAGACCAGACUGGUCUACAGAGCUAUUUCUAGAAGACCCAUGGCUACACAAAGAAACCCUGUCUCAAAAACAAAAACAAACCAAAAAAUUCAUUUAUCUAAGAUCCUAAAAAAGGGACCCCAGUUUGCCUCUCUCCCACUCCUACUGUCUCGAUGCAGUCUUGUCCUCUCGGGUCUAGACAGUGGCUUUCUAAUCCGGCUUUUGGCUGUCACCAUUCUCUUCCCUAAACUAACCUUGCAUUGCUGCCAGAGCAAGCCUUCUGCACUGCAGGCUAAAUGGCGCCUCUCCACCUGAAGGCCCCACAGAGGCACGGACAGUUUAGGGUCCCACCCAUAGCCUUGGCAGGCCCCCAAAAGCUCUUCUUUGUGCACUGGUCUCAUCGUUUCUAUCAGCCUCAGUCCUGGCACUGUCUCCCACACCCCCGUGCCCUGUACUCUGUGAAAGGAAGCACGGUUGCCUCUGCCGCUCAUGACCAGGGAUGUGGAAAUCACAGCAUUCUCUGAGUGAAUCAAGUGUCAGCGUUUGUUAUGCACUUCCUGCAUACCGUGAUGAGGAAAUGAAGAAAAAAAAGAAGGGAGCUUAUAAACAAACAACAAAAAGGAGGUGUUUGCUAUGCUACUAUCACUACGCUAACUUUACUGAGGAACAAAAGCUGAGAUGUUGCCAAGCGAAAGGACCUGUAGGUCACACAAUCUGUCGCUUUGUGUCUGGUGAGAGAUGAAUGGCAACAGUCAUACACACAGAUCCAGCAGAAGAGCCGGCUGCUUCCUGUUGUGUCUCUACUGCUUUCUAUACCUAAGGAUGCUCCCAGGAGGGUGCUCUGAGAAUGCCAGUCUGAUGCCUCUCCCCUGCACUCUGGGUGGUCAGUUUCUUUGGUGACAGAUCCUUAGAUCACUGCUCCGGGAGGUAGAUGAACAGGAGAACCACUCACAAAGUGCCUGGUUUUCCUCUUCUGACAGUUCACUACAAAUGUACAUGCAGAAAAUUCCCUUUCUAAAAUAUUUUAUAUUUCCUUUUCCUCACUUGGGAUUUGCCCUGCUGCCUUAUUCCUUUUGCAGUUAGGAGAAUGUCAUAACGUGUCAGCUCUUCAGGAGGAACAUGCUUCUCACCAAAUUCCCCUUGCAGCAGCAGGCGUAGAGGAGCCUGCUGGGUGGGUGGGUCUUAUUACCCGUUGGUAUCAUUUGUGUUACCAACAGGCCUUGGGAAAGAGCUGCCCAAGGGAUGAACAUGGAGCAAUAUAUGAUGAAGUGACACAAAGGAGGAGACAGCCACCCCUCAGGGCCCAUGGGGAAGUGUUUCCAGGUCCCCUGACAUACCACAAUCCCUCAUGAGACUCCUAGUGGUUGGGAAUAUUAAUAUGAUUAAUAUUAGUUAAUUAAUAUUAAUUAUUAAUAAGAUUAUCUGUGUGUAUGGACACAGCUUUUUUUCUCCUAAUACUUUGGAUCUGCCAUUGGCAAAAUUCAUGACUUUUAUACUCCCCUGUGAUGGUCCUUUGCCCUUUUUGGUCCUUUCUGGAAGUUUUGAUUUAUAAACUGAAGCUCUCUGAAGCCCCAUCUACACUGCAGGAGUCAUGGUCAGUUUGACCUUGGCUGAGUAGAACACUGUGAUUGUGAGGUGGGGAAUGUUGUGGAGCAAGAGCCAAAGUCAUCUUGGCUAGCUUUAGUCUUUUAAUAGUUCCUGACUACGAACCUCUAUUUCUGACCUCACAUCCUCUUGAUUAAAAACUCCUGGAACUUAUCAUCUGGCUAAAUUUGACAUUUCUAAUCCUAGUGAUAUGAUUUUUUUCCCUUUGAGACAGGGUCUCUGGUACUACAUGCUGACCUUGAAGUUGCUUCAUAGCUGAGAAUGUCUUUGAACUUCUGAUUCUUUCCUCAUCUACCUCUGAAGUAGUAGGGUUAUAGGUCGUGGCCAACUUAUGUGGGUCUCAGGAUGUAACCAAGGGCUUCCUUUAGUUACAGAAAGACUCUACUAAGUGAACUACAUCUCCAGCUGCAAUAUUAAUUCUUAAUUCUGCAGAAGAGAUUUUUCCCAAUCUGCUAUAACUAACUUCCUAAAGACUGCUUUCCAUAUACUUUGUAUGCACACAGAUUUAUAACUUUGAUUUGUUCCAUGACAAUAAAAUGUCACAAAGCCUCUUCCACAUGGGACAUGUCACUUAGGGUAACUUGAAUAUGUGUUCCUGAGGCCUUGGUCACACAUAUUAUUUGCUCAAAAUAAACUAUUUUCUCAUUUUCUUUAAAACAGAGUUGUAACUUCAGAUUGACACAGUGAGACUUCACCUUGACUUUGUGACAUUGCCACUAGCUGUUUAACCAUCAUCUUAGGCAAAGACCCACCAUGAUUUGGAACUGCACUCCCUUUUUGAUUUGUAAGACAGUGAACAGACUUGUAGGUAAAUAACUUCCAGGACUUAUAUCUAGUAGUCAAAAGGAUGUAAGGUCAAAUAUAGAGGUUGAUAGUAAGUUGCUAUUAAAAGAGACUAAAGAUAGUCCAAGAUGACCUUGGCUCUUAAUGCACAAUAUUCCAUCACCCCUUAAUUCCAAUGCUCUAGUCAACUGUGGUCAAACAGUCCACGGGAUUCUGUACAGAUUGGACUUUGCUUAUCUGUUCAUCCUAUUUAUUAAUCAAUCGGAACCCAGUGACAACCUUGUACAUUCAUCGAGUAAGAAAGAUGGGCUUCAACUGGUCCAGUCUUGGUUCCUCCCCUCCCCCACUUUCUUUUGAGGAAAACACCUAAAAAGAAAGAUGGUCUUACAGAAAGAUGUUGCAUGUUCCAUUCUCUAUCGAGCCUGGUGUGGUGGUUUGAAUAGGAAUAGCCACUAUGGACUGAUAUACUUGAAUGCUUGGUCAUUUGCAAGUGGCACUGCUUAAGAGGGAUUAGGAGGUGUGGCCUUAUUGGAGGAAGUGUGUCACUGGGGAAGGGUGGGCUUUGAGGUUUCAAGAACUAAGCCAGGACCAGGGGCUCUGUGUUGUUCCUGCUACCUAUGGAUCUGUGUGUAGAACUCUUAGCUCCUUCUCCAACCCCAUGUUUGCCUACAUGUCACUAUGCUCCCUUCAUGAUCAUGGACUAAACCUCUGAAACUGUAAGGAAGUCCCAAUUAAAUGUGUUUCUUUGUAAGAGUCACCAUGGCUGUGGUGCUUCUUCUCAGCAACAGAACACUGACUAGGACACCAGGGAUGUUUGACAUUCCAACACCUCAGACUGCUUGCCACUUAAAACCAAAAACAAAUGAAAAUGUCGGGAAGAGAGGAGGACUCAGUUCCUCUGUGACUCAGGUUUCCAUGGCUACUAAAUGGACUCUGAGGAACACUAUCAUGUUUCUCCUGCCUUCUGUAGGUAGGUAGUAUUUACAUAGACUCUGGGUGGCUUCCCUUUGGCCUUUGAGAAAGCUUCUGUUGAUUGUAGGUAAGGCUCAGAAUGUCAUGUGAGUUACCAACUGAGGAAUAAAGCUAUUUUAAGGCUUCUGAAGCCAAGUUUCUUGAGAAAUACCCUGUAAUUAGGAGAGAUGAAAAACUUGUGCUUAAACUUUGGCUUGGAAUUCACAUGCAUUUUGUUGCAAGCCAUGGCUACUUUCCCUCUGAGGAAAAGCUGGAAAAAAAACCUAUAGAUAAUUACGCAGUUACCACAUUUGAAUUCACUUAUUUAUUUCAAAUAUACUAUAUGUCGAAGUAACCUUUGGACACAGAUGAAACAGAAAGAGAGUAGCUCAAACCCACACACGCUGACGUAUAAACAAAUACCAGGUAACAUGGUGUGCCAUCCCUUAUCCUCGUCUGUGGCAGAUGCCAAUUAACUGACUGAGUCGAUCUUUUCUGGUGAAUUUAGAACAAGCCUCGGAAUCCCCCUUAACCCAGCAAGGAAGGGAAUAGCUGUAACCCAACCAGAUACAUCAUUUUUCGUUCUUUCACGAAGAUAGUAAUUAUGAGUGUGGAAUCUAUUUAUGAGUAACAAAAUGUACUUUUACCCAGCAAUGAGUGCCAGAGGCAUAAUUUUAAGUGAGGGCAGAAGAAUCCUUCUGACUUUUCUCUCUGAACUAUGUUUGGUAGCAACAGUCAGAUGCUGAUGCUACCCACACUGGCUCUGAGGCAAUAUGCCAGUGGUGCAUGUACAGACAUCACUCAUAUACAAACCCCCUAGUUUGUGCUGAAUAAAUGGGUGGGUGGAGGAGAUACUGAGAAUGCUCCUCAAGGAACAUGGCUGUAGCCACAUGUUGUCUGCAGUCUGAGGAGACACAGAGGUCAGUGACCACUGAUUGUCUACUGAGUCCAUGAUGUCUGCAGUCUGAGGAAGGAGACACAGAGGUCAGUGGCCACUGAUGGUCUUCUAAAGGCUCCUCCAUACUCUGAAAUAGUUUAGGAAAAACUACUAUUUUCUGAUUCCUCCAGUUGCAGCCGAAGGACUGAAAAAAAUCUCUCUCCUUGUUAUUCAAUACCCGUGUGCACUGAUUUGUCCCUACAGUCUGUGAAAUGUGUCUCACAGUGAGGAAGUGAUCGCUGAGCACAUACUAGUGAGUGAGGAAUCAAACAAACAACUGGUAGGGAAAAGGAAAAAGAAAGAGAUAAAAUAGACUAACUCCAGGGCUGGGCAUGGUGGUGCAUUCCUUUGUUCCCAACACUUGGGAGGCAGAGACAAGCAGGUCUGUGUGAGCUUGAGGCUAGCCUGGUCUACAUCGAAAGUUCAAGGUCAGCCAGGGCUACAUAGUGAGGCUGUGUCUCAGACAAGCAAACUCUAAGGCCGCAGCUAUUGGUUUGGUUGCCUAGGGGUUUCUCAUUUGGGAGAAACAGUCCCAGGUCCCAGCUACCAAGGAAAGUUCUGCUUUGAAAUCCUUUGGGGAAUGAGCAUCAUAAAAUGCAAAUAGCAGCAAAAGCAAGGGAAGCCACAUAAUCCUCAAAGUUUAAAAACUUCCCUAAUCACUACAUGGCUAAACGCCCUGAGGUGUGUUUGAUCACAGUGGUCUGUUCCCAGGAGCUCUUGGGGCAGCUUUAUUGGAUGGUGGUCGUUUUGCCUUGACUGCUGGAUGGAGAUUUUGUUUUGUUUUUCCUUUUUUUUUUUGAUAGUCUAAUGUAGUAUAUAGAUUGGCCUUCCACAUGUUACGUAGCCAACGACCCUGAACUUGUGAUCCUCCUACCCCUACCUCCCGAGUGCUGGAUCGCAUGUGUGACCACUCUUGGUUUCUGCAGUGCUGGAUGAUGGUCCCCAGGACUUCCUGCAUGCCAGGUAAGUGCCCUGGCACUUGAGCUUCACCCCUAGCCCCACUGGUAGAAUAUUUAUUCCAACUGUGCCAGAAAAUGUGAACUUUUACCAGCCGUUCAAAUGGCUGUUUCUUCCUUUUAGCCCUGCUCAGCAAAGUAAGUUACAGGCAGGAGAUCAAGGAGUGAAGAGGUGGCCCAUGCCCCCUUGGAUUAUUUCAGGAGGCACCAGGGAGUCAGCUGGAGUACUUUAGUAGCCAUUGCUCCAUCCAUUCCAAUUUCCUCUGCUCCCAUCUAUCCACUUGACCAAGUAUACCCCAGCUAGGUCCCCCACUAACAGGACAUUGAGCCUGUGAAAGAACCACUCGAGAGGACACAUGGCCCCAGGUAUGGGAAACACCCAGAGAACAGGAUGACACUAGACAACUCUAUUACAUCUAUGUUCUACCCCAGUGACCCAAAGUGAUGCUGCUUUCACAAAUGCCCUGCCUCUCCGAGGUCUCUACUUCCACUAAGUUGCCCCACAUAUAGUCCACUAUGUGUCUUCUAGCUGGUACUUCUGCAGGCCCAUGGCUUCAUCCGUGUACUACAGGCCAUCAGAGUGAGCUGUGCCCCAAAUAGCCCACCUACCUCUUGCCUCUGUGUUGAAUCCACCUGACUUCCUGCUUUCCAAGGAAAUAAGCCCUCCUAUCUCUUUGGAUACCAAGGAGACCCUCUCUGCCUUCCUGGUGAUGUCCUUAGCUGCAUGAUUCAUUCUGUUAAACUUCCCUAGGGACACUAAAUCCCCCAGAUGCCCCGAGAUGCUCUUGAAUUGCGUCCACCAGACCUCAUGCACAUCUCCUCAUUGUGGCAGUGUGCUCACACGGCAGCUGUCUUUGUGCCCUCUGGGAUACCAGGUGAGUCAUGCCAUGUCUACUAAAUGAGGAAGAAAGCCUUUAGCUCCGUCUUUUCCUUUUAAAUGAGUUCUAUUUUACUCUGUUAUGAUGUGUGAGCCAUUAAAACUUUCCAGAAGGCAGGAUAUGAAAAAAAUAACCUUUGUAAAUAGUAGAUACAUGAUGUCUUAGUUUUAUAGGGAGAGAAACCAGGUUGCUAGGCAACUGGAGAGAAAUCUAGCCAACCUCUUUCCUACCUCCCAGCUCCUCCCUAGACAAUUGUCAGGUUCUUCCAUUUUCGGUUUUUUGUUUUUUUUUUUUUUCAGAGUUGGGGACCGAACCCAGGGCCUUGCGCUUGCUAGGCAAGCGCUCUGCCACUGAGCUAAAUCCCCAACCCCACAUUUUCGUUUUUUUAUGUUUGAAUUUACAAGUUACCUCUGUGUGUUUGUGGCACUUGUUUAUGAAUGGAACACACACACACACACACACACACACACACACACACACUCACACACACACACACACACACGAGUACAGCAAGCAUAGUAGUAUAUACUUACCCCAGCAUUUAGAGUUAGAGGCCGGGCUGGGCUACACACUUCCACAUUAUCUCAAAAUGACAAAAAACUAUUCAUUAUUCUCUGUGCAUCUGGGGUUUGAGCAUGUAAACACUAUUUGGAUUUCACGAGGGGAAUAUGGAACCUUGAAAAAGUCUAUUUUUAUUGGGAAUUUAAGGCAACUGUUUGGUCUAUCAAAGGCCACUUUUUUUUUCUUUUUUCUUUUUUUUUUUCGGAGCUGGGGACCGAACCCAGGGCCUUGCGCUUCCUAGGCAAGCGCUCUACCACUGAGCUAAAUCCCCAACCCCCAAAGGCCACUUUUAUAUGGAUUGGAUAAUGGGCAUCUCGUAGCCCUGAUUUUGUUCAUAGAAGAAUACAAAAAUAUCAAUAAAUGUAAAAUAUGGGGAGUUUAAGAAAGAAAGAAAGAAAGGGCACAAGACAUGAUACAAGAAGGUUCAAGCUUUUGUGUGACGCACUAGGCCUGUUCGUACACUAGACCAUUUUGCUCGCCAGUGCUAUGAGAUAGGUGCUAUUAUUUCUGCUUUUCACAGAUAAGGAAACCGAGACUCUGACUCUUACAACUGGCAAGGGGAAGAGCUGAAACCUGGGAAUUGGUAGUGAGGCUCAUGCAGCAACAGAGCCUUUCAUGGGCACAACUGCUGCCAAUCUGUAUGAAUGUGAGAGGUGGGCGUCUCUUAGCUUCUUGCUACUUUUUAAAACAAGACCCUGGGAUGCCAAGUAAUGGCAUCAUCUUUUGCUUAGGGAUACCUGAAGGGCAGGCUGGAAGCAAGCAUAGAUUAACAUGUCUACCCAUCAAUCUCUUCAUCCACCCACCUGUGUACCAUCCACCUACACAUCCAUCCAGCCAUGCACCAUUCACCUAUCCAUCUACCUGCCUGUCCAUUCAUUUAAUCACCACCCAUCCAUCUGUCCAUCCAUCCAUCCAUCCAUCUAUCCCUUCAUCACCUAUCCAUCUAUCUGUCUUUUCACCUAACCAAGUAUAUUCCAUCCAUCUAUCCAUCUACAUAUCCACCCAUGUGGGAAACAUGUGUUGGAGAUUGGUUCUAAUGUUUUGAUUCAUUCAGCAAUCUGCGUGUCCCUAGUUGGUUUUUGGUCAAUCAAUAAAGAUAACAGCAGUCAAUGGCUGGGUAAAGGGAGAUGGGGAUGGGACCCUUAGACUUGCAAGGGCUAGGACACAGUGAGGAGCAAAGGAGAAUCACCAUGACUUGGGGAAGAAGGGUGGGACACAGGAGCAGCCAGAGAUAAAGCAAGCCAGUCAUGUCAGAUUUCAGGUAAGUGGGCACUGGCCACCAGCAGAUCCAAAGACAGCUCACGGGAGGGUUUGUGCAUGUGAUCCACUGAGAACACAGUGAUAAAGCCAAAAUUCCCACUGAGAAUAGAAGCAUCUAGAGAAAUUGUAAUUACUUACUUAAUUAAUUUUAUUUUAUGCAUUUGAGUGUUUUGAUUUCAUGUAUAAACAUCCAUCUCAUGUGUGUCUGGAACCAGCAUCUGAAUCUAUGGAACUGGAGUUACAGGCAUCUGUAAGCCACCAUGGGGGGUACUGAGAGUUGAACCAGUGUCCUCUGCAAGAGCAACAAGUGCUCUUAACUGCUGAGCCACCUCUCCAGCUCAUUUAGAAGACUUUAAAACCUAUUCACCUGGCUAAAGCAAACAAGGGUUAAAGGAAGAUAAACAACACUCAGUUUAUGUGUAUGUGUGGUGAAGUUCAGAAGGCCGCCAAGGUGAUGUGUAAUGGGCUCUUUUUCAAGUCUCAGUUAACAAAUCUAGAUGUCAAGACAGGGCAAGAUGAAGCCAGAAGCUGAUUCCGCCUCUUCCUGCAGCCAUCCAGAGCCAGUGUCACUCUGUCCCACUCUAGCCUGGGACUCAGAAGAUAAGGAAGUAGGUAGAGGUGGUGGCUACCACUGAGGCUCCCUCAUGCCUGAAGCGUGAGAACCAAGUCUCUAGCUCAAAAAUCCCCCUACGACAACUCCUGCAGGCUGGGCUCUAAGCAAUAAUUAAAAGUGUAGUUGGAUCUUUAGUCAUAAGGGAAAUGCAAAUCAAAACAACCCUGAGAUUUCACCUCACACCAGUGAGAAUGGCUAAGAUCAAAAACUUAGGUGACAGCAAAUGCUGGCGAGGAUGCGGAGAAAGAGGAACACUCCUCCAUUGUUGGUGGGAUUGCAGACUGGUACAACCAUUCUGGAAAUCAGUCUGGAAGUUCCUCAGAAAAUUGGACAUUGAACUGCCUGAGGAUCCAGCUAUACCUCUCUUGGGCAUAUACCCAAAAGAUGCCCCAACAUAUAAAAAAGACAUGUGCUCCACUAUGUUCAUUGCAGCCUUAUUUAUAAUAGCCAGAAGCUGGAAAGAACCCAGAUGCCCUUCAACAGAGGAAUGGAUACAGAAAAUGUGGUACAUCUACACAAUGGAAUAUUACUCAGCUAUCAAAAACAAUGACUUUAUGAAAUUUGUAGGCAAAUGGUUGGAACUGGAAAAUAUCAUCCUGAGUGAGGUAACCCAAUCACAGAAAAACACACAUGGUAUGCACUCAUUGAUAAGUGGCUAUUAGCCCAAAUGCUUGAAUUACCCUAGAUGCCUAGAACAAAUGAAACUCAAGACGGAUGAUCAAAAUGUGAAUGUUUCAUUCCUUCUUUAAAAGGGGAACAAGAAUACCCUUGGCAGGGAAGAGAGAGGCAAAGAUUAAAACAGACACAGAAGGAACACCCAUUCAGAGCCUGCUCCACAUGUGGCCCAUACAUAUACAGCCACCCAAUUAGACAAGAUGGAUGAAGCAAAGAAGUGCAGGCCGACAGGAGCCGGAUGUAGAUCGCUCCUGAGAGACAUAGCCAGAAUACAGCAAAUACAGAGGCGAAUGCCAGCAGCAAACCACUGAACUGAGAACGUGACUCCCGUUGAAGGAAUCAGAGAAAGAACUCGAAGAGCUUGAAGGAGCUCGAGACCCCUUAUGAACAACAAUGCCAAGCAACCAGAGCUUCCAGGGACUAAGCCACUACCUAAAGACUAUACAUGGACUGACCCUGGACUCUGACCUCAUGGGUAGCAAUGAAUAUCCUAGUAAGAGCACCAGUGGAAGGGGAAGCCCUAGGUCCUGCUAAGACUGAACCCCCAGUGAACGUGAUUGUUGGGGGGAGGGCGGCAAUGGGGCGAGGAUGGGGAGUGGAACACCUAUAAAGAAGGGGACGGGGGGAGGGAUUAGGGGGAUGUUUGCCCAGAAACCGGGAAAGGGAAUAACACUCGAAAUGUAAAUAAGAAAUACUCAAGUUAAUUAAAAAAAAAAAGUGUAGUUGGUCAUACUGGUGUAAGGCUUUAAUCCCAGAGCUCCAGAGGCAGGUAGAUUUCUGUGAAUUCAGGGCCAGAUUGGUAUACAAAGAGAGGCCAGUCAGGGCUACAGAGAGAGAGAGACACUGUUUCAAAAAAAAAAAAACCAAAUAUAUAGUAAAAAUAUAAUUUUAA
Rattus norvegicus (Norway rat) is the source of this 32085-nucleotide RNA transcript. It is a transcript of the gene named sorting nexin 14, with no coding region annotated. The record is from RefSeq and is marked validated. NCBI's taxonomy places the organism in Eukaryota, Metazoa, Chordata, Mammalia, Rodentia, Muridae.